RNAcentral lists this ribosomal RNA (497 nucleotides) under uncultured bacterium. RNAcentral's name for it is "partial 16S ribosomal RNA". It matches the Rfam family "Bacterial small subunit ribosomal RNA", at positions 28 to 507 of the family's 1533-position model. The record is from RNAcentral.
GAUGAACGCUGGCGGCGUGCCUAAUACAUGCAAGUCGAGCGAACGGACGAUAAGCUUGUUCUUUUGCUGUUAGCGGCGGACGGGCGGGUAACACGUGGAUAACCUACUUCUAUUACUGGGAUAAAUUCGGGAAACCGGAUCUAAUACCGGAUAAUAUUUUGUACCGCAUGGUUCAAAAGUUAUUGACGGUCUUGCUGUCUCUUAUAGAUGGUUUCGCGCUGCAUUAGCUAGUUGGUAAGGUAACGGCUUACCAAGGCGACGAUGCAUAGCCGACCUGAGAGGGUGAUCAGCCACACUGGAACUGAGACACGGUCCAGACUCCUACGGGAGGCAGCAGUGGGGAAUAUUGCGCAAUGGGCGAAAGCCUGACGCAGCAACACCGCGUGAGUGAUGAAGGUCUUCGGGUCGUAAAGCUCUUUUGUUGGGAAAGAACAGAUGUAUAAGAAACCGUCGACGUCUUGACGGUACCUAAUCAAAAAGCCACGGCUAACUACGUG